CACUCUCUCUCUCUUCCCCAUUGUUACUGCCGCCGUCGCCGCCUAGCUCCAGCGCCGCCGUCUGCCGUCACCUCUCCGGCGCCACCAUCGCACCGCCGACCCCGACGGCGUCUCCCCCUCCUUCCUCAUCUCUCUCUCGAAUUUCGUCUCACUCUCCACUCUGUUUCCCCGCCGUCAUCGCCGACAUGCACUGCCGGCGACGACCCCUUUCCAGAUUUGCUGCUGAUUUCCGAAAAAAGGGUGACCCAAUUACUUGUUUCCCCUAAUUACUUUUAUAGGGUGAAAAGAGUGGAAUUAGCGAUGCGUCCAGGGGGGGUUCGGGUCGUCGCCGGGAUUUCAGCAGAUUCAACUCCUAAGGUGAUGAUAAUGAAAGUUGCUGACAAAGAAGGAGUUAGAAGCUUACUAAAUUGAUCUAUCUUCAGGUGAUCACAUCAUGUUUGAAUCCUACUGAGGAAUUUUAAGAAAAGAAAAGGAGAUGAUAUGUGGGCCAUUGAUUUACUUCUGCUGCUCAUUAAUUGCUUCUGAGCAUAUAAUCAUUACUUGUACAGGGAUGAGGCGUUUCAGCUACGACAAGCUUAUGUGGAGUGGUUUAACAUACUAUGAUUUGUACAUUUAUCGUUUAAUUUGGUGUAGGAGAAUCCCGGUUCAAACUCGUGGCUUUUCUCGAUGAUGCACCCACAUUCUUGGAACAUUCGAUGUAUAAAUUAGAUAUUUGUUGGACCUUUGCUAGAUGAACCGGACAUUAUAAAUUUUGGUUUCGGGAUCUCA
Molecule: non-coding RNA, 768 nt
Organism: Salvia hispanica
Lineage: Eukaryota; Viridiplantae; Streptophyta; Magnoliopsida; Lamiales; Lamiaceae
Source: RefSeq, a predicted model, not a curated record